This 787-nucleotide ribosomal RNA is filed under the name uncultured bacterium. RNAcentral's name for it is "bacterial SSU rRNA". It matches the Rfam family "Bacterial small subunit ribosomal RNA", at positions 8 to 796 of the family's 1533-position model. The record is from RNAcentral.
AGAGUUUGAUCCUGGCUCAGGAUGAACGCUAGCGGCAGGCUUAACACAUGCAAGUCGAGGGGUAUGUUUCUUCGGAAGCAGAGACCGGCGCACGGGUGCGUAACGCGUAUGCAAUCUACCUUUUACAGAGGGAUAGCCCAGAGAAAUUUGGAUUAAUACCUCGUAGUAUUAUGAAAUGGCAUCAUUUUAUAAUUAAAGUCACAACGGUAAAAGAUGAGCAUGCGUCCCAUUAGCUAGUUGGUAAGGUAACGGCUUACCAAGGCUACGAUGGGUAGGGGUCCUGAGAGGGAGAUCCCCCACACUGGUACUGAGACACGGACCAGACUCCUACGGGAGGCAGCAGUGAGGAAUAUUGGACAAUGGGCGCAAGCCUGAUCCAGCCAUGCCGCGUGCAGGAUGACGGUCCUAUGGAUUGUAAACUGCUUUUGUACAGGAAGAAACACUGGUUCGUGAACCAGCUUGACGGUACUGUAAGAAUAAGGAUCGGCUAACUCCGUGCCAGCAGCCGCGGUAAUACGGAGGAUCCAAGCGUUAUCCGGAAUCAUUGGGUUUAAAGGGUCCGUAGGCGGUUUAAUAAGUCAGUGGUGAAAGCCCAUCGCUCAACGGUGGAACGGCCAUUGAUACUGUUAGACUUGAAUUAUUAGGAAGUAACUAGAAUAUGUAGUGUAGCGGUGAAAUGCUUAGAGAUUACAUGGAAUACCAAUUGCGAAGGCAGGUUACUACAAAUGGAUUGACGCUGAUGGACGAAAGCGUGGGUAGCGAACAGGAUUAGAUACCCUGGUAGUCC